UAGGGAAUCUUCCGCAAUGGACGAAAGUCUGACGGAGCAACGCCGCGUGAACGAUGAAGGCCUUCGGGUCGUAAAGUUCUGUUGUUAGGGAAGAACAAGUACCAGAGUAACUGCUGGUACCUUGACGGUACCUAACCAGAAAGCCACGGCUAACUACGUGCCAGCAGCCGCGGUAAUACGUAGGUGGCAAGCGUUGUCCGGAAUUAUUGGGCGUAAAGCGCGCGCAGGUGGUUUCUUAAGUCUGAUGUGAAAGCCCACGGCUCAACCGUGGAGGGUCAUUGGAAACUGGGGAACUUGAGUGCAGAAGAGGAAAGUGGAAUUCCACGUGUAGCGGUGAAAUGCGUAGAGAUGUGGAGGAACACCAGUGGCGAAGGCGACUUUCUGGUCUGUAACUGACACUGAGGCGCGAAAGCGUGGGGAGCAAACAGG
This 429-nucleotide ribosomal RNA is filed under the name uncultured bacterium. RNAcentral describes it as "bacterial SSU rRNA". It matches the Rfam family "Bacterial small subunit ribosomal RNA", at positions 355 to 776 of the family's 1533-position model. The record is from RNAcentral.